This 247-nucleotide ribosomal RNA is filed under the name uncultured archaeon. RNAcentral describes it as "partial 16S ribosomal RNA". It matches the Rfam family "Archaeal small subunit ribosomal RNA", at positions 691 to 937 of the family's 1478-position model. The record is from RNAcentral.
CCGACGGUGAGGGACGAAAGCUGGGGGAGCAAACCGGAUUAGAUACCCGGGUAGUCCCAGCUGUAAACGAUGCGCGUUAGGUGUGUCAGUGACCACGUGUCACUGAUGUGCCGAAGGGAAACCGUGAAACGCGCCGCCUGGGGAGUACGGUCGCAAGGCUGAAGCUUAAAGGAAUUGGCGGGGGAGCACCACAACGGGUGGAGCCUGCGGUUUAAUCGGACUCAACGCCGGAAAUCUCACCGGAUAA